Molecule: long non-coding RNA, 333 nt
Filed under: Homo sapiens (human)
Lineage: Eukaryota; Metazoa; Chordata; Mammalia; Primates; Hominidae
Description: HSALNT0260224
Source: RNAcentral
AAUUAAAUUAAAAUUUUUUUAAAGUCAUGGAAAGGAUGAGGAGACCAUGAUACCAUGGACAAGAGUUGGAGAGGCAGAGGCCAGGGGUUGGGAAAGUGGCACACACAGAAGCAUGGCUGGAGGACACAACAGGGACCCUCAUGAGGCAACGAGGGAGGAAAGAGAUGGUGGCACGAGAAGGAAGCACGACUGCAGCUAGAGCCAGGGAGAUGGAAGGAGGAGGGUGGAGGAGAUGGUGGAAGAAAGGUCCCUGCCAGCGCAGAGAGGAGGGAGACCUGCCCGGGCCCUUGCCUGGCACGGUCCUGGCCAGGUACAGUUGGGUAGGAGGUGACA